This is a non-coding RNA of Pseudomonas batumici, 89 nucleotides long. The record is from Rfam. NCBI's taxonomy places the organism in Bacteria, Pseudomonadati, Pseudomonadota, Gammaproteobacteria, Pseudomonadales, Pseudomonadaceae.
UGCUAUGGCGGCUGUGCGUGGGACACCUGCGGGUGUGCCGGGUUUCGUAAUAGUCCCGGUCGGCUAACCCGCGUACAGCUGCCACCCUC